Non-coding RNA from Cinara cedri, 188 nucleotides. The record is from the annotation of a GenBank genome assembly. NCBI's taxonomy places the organism in Eukaryota, Metazoa, Arthropoda, Insecta, Hemiptera, Aphididae.
AUCGCUUUUCAGCCUAUCGGCUAAGAUGAAGUUUAUUAUCUGUUCUUAAUACAUCUUUAAUACUUCCACAAAAGAAGUACAAAUAUUAAACUAAUUUUUGUAAAAUGGGCGGAGAAUUCGGGGCUCACUUCAACUCCGCUGCGUGUUGUACCGGUAUUUCAGUUACCACCGGGAAUAGCCCUAUCAAU